CUUCCGCCUUAGGCAGCCGCUAGGCGGGAGGGACAAUCCCCCACCACCAACCACUGCCACCCCGAGGGGACUAGGGGCUGAGGCCCGCCCAGUUCGUUUCCUCUGAAGCCUAAACCAGUGUCUACGCAGGCGGAGCUGAACGGAGAGGUGAAGCAGGGGGUCUUUAUAUUCCCUGCAGAAACCCUGGAUCCCACUCCACUGAGGAAAAUCCUUUCUCUUUUGUGUUUGGGUGCUUUUAAAGGAAUUUCUUUCCUUUCCCUUGGCUGGCUGGGUCCAGCCAUCUCCGGCCAGCAACCCUGUCAGUGUUCCACCCUGUCCCAGGCCCUGUGAUAUUUAUUGUGGCUAAAGGCAAUGAGAUUGGGUGGAAGAGAAGGGUCUGGGCCAGGGACUGGAGAGGUGGGGGUGGAGUGGGCAAGGGCACACCCUGUGGCAGGGGGUCCUAUAAUUUUGUGUAAAUAUCUGUACAGCGCGCUGCUCUCGGCGUUCUCUGUCCACUGGGUGUGCAUUGAUUUAAACUUCUCCACUGUGGGGAAGCUCUGUGAAAUCGUCUGAUGGUCUGUGUGGAAGAAAAGAAAAAUCUGUCUGCCGCCUAUUUCCCAUUGGUGUCGAUUGAAUAAAUGUAUGUGAACUUCAGCAGUCACCAGCUCUGUCUGCUUGCCUGCACUCCCUUGCCCCUGAUGGGGCUCUCCCAGAAGAGCUUAGCUCCCCAACAGAGGGGGAGUGAGGAAAGGCCCCUGGGCAGCCCAAGCAGGCAGAGAGGGGUUUGAGCUUAGAGGAUGCAAGGGGCACUUUGGUCUUGGCCUUCAGCUGUUAAUGAGGCCGAAUCUCUGGGAAGCCUGUGGCCUCUCCAGCACUUUCAUUUUCGUUCUAGUCCUAAGAAGGUUGUUGCCUGGAGUUUUGCCUGGGGUUGUGUUUCCACUGCACCUGAGGAUUCUCAUGUCCUUCUAGUUUGGAUGUUGGCAUGGCCUGGGCAGAUCUGGGUGCUAAGGGUUCAUGAACACUCUACCCACUAAGUACAAUUUAAGGUGAAUAUAUCUGGUGAUGUGUACUCUGUAUGCCUCUGUUUCUGAGUGAAGGGCUUUUAUGGAACUUAUGAUUUGUUUUUGUGUUUGUCUGGGUCGGCACAGCUCCUUGCUUUUUUUUUUGUGUGUGUGUGUGUGUGAAUUGUAUUUCAGAAUAUCUGCAUUAUUAUUUCUAUGUAUGUUGGUGAACAUGUCUUUGUGUGUGUUUGUGAUUCUCAGUUGCUGUCUUUCUGUCUCUGAGAGGAGACAGGUUUCUCCCUGGCGGCUUUAGGGCCUUGUCUGGAAUCCCCUCUCCCCCCCCCGCCACCCCCUAACACAUGUAACAGAGUAAAAGGCUUGGACUGGGGACUGUGAAACCUUUCUUUCCUCCAGCCCAAGAGGGUUAGAGGGGCACUAUGAGCUGAAUGAAAGAGUCAGUGGAGUAACACUCAAGGUAAAACUUCCCAUCCCGUGAGCAAGACUCAUAGCUGGAAGCUACUGCCUGAGUACAAAUCCAUUGGUCUGGUUGGAGUCUUCCAUAAACCCAUUGAGUCUCCCAGCUCUCUGCCUAUGCCUGGGACUCCCAGUGGCCAGACUUGCCAGUGUGUUGAGUGAGAGGUGAUCUUUGGGUGAAGCAGAGAUGAUUGCUUAGCUCUUUUCUCUAUAUAUUCCAGUGAGAUUAUAGGAGAGGAGAAACAGAGGUGCAAGAAGAGGCAGUGUAGACUUCACAGAAAACAGACACAUGUUGAGGGCAAGGGUUGGGAGAUGAAGUGACAGACAGAGAAGGAAGAAGACACGGUCAGAGACCCAGAUGCAGGGAACUUGAGAGAGGUGAGCCACACAGGCCUCUUCAGCUAGGAUCCCUGCAGCUGGCAAUAGUAGAAAAGAAGGAAGAGGUGGAGGACUGAGACCACUGUAGAAAGGGUGUCAAAAUCAGGAUUAGGGUGGGAAGAACACACCAGAGCUGGGGAAGGGUUGUUUGGGGUUCCCAAGUCUCUCAUCGCCUUCACCAGUGGAGAAGAGAUGAGGCUCAAGGUGCAAAGAGUACACGCAGUCCCUCUGCCAGAGGCAAGGCAACCCUCUCCUUGUUGAGAGACUGUGGAAGUGGAGGGAGGUCAAACGGAGUGGGCCACCUUCCCACCAUUUUAUCAAAUGGUCCAGGCAAAGUAAGGUUAGGUUGGAUGGUAUAAAGGGAGAAACCUCUGCUGAUACUGGGAUGAAGGUCUCUGGCUGGUUGCUUCGUCUACUUAAAUGUCUCUGAGUUUAAUUUUGUUUAUUUUCACUUGAGGAAGGGUGACUGUGACUGAAGGAACAUGCACCCACACAAGUGAGCAUGUGUGUGUGUGUGUGUGUGUGUGUGUGUGUGCGCUGUCAGUAAAGCACUUUGUAGCUAUGUGAUCUCAUUUACAAUGAAUAUGUCACUCCCAGAUAUUAGAUCGGAGGUUUACGUAAAAGAUUUAUUAAUUGGUUUUUC
Molecule: long non-coding RNA, 2475 nt
Filed under: Homo sapiens (human)
Lineage: Eukaryota; Metazoa; Chordata; Mammalia; Primates; Hominidae
Description: non-protein coding lnc-FOXD2-10:2
Source: RNAcentral